CCCUUAGAUGUUCUGGGCUGCACGCGCGCUACACUGAUGCAUCCAACAAGUUUUUUCCUUGUUCGAGAGGACUAGGUAAUCUUAUGAGAAUGCAUCGUGAUGGGGAUAGAUUAUUGCAAUUAUUAAUCUUCAACGAGGAAUUCCUAGUAAGCGCACGUCAUCAGCGUGCAUUGAAUACGACCCUGUAUUCUGUACACACCGCCCGUCGCUCCUACCGAUUGAAGUUUUCGGUGAAUUUACUGGAGAUCCCUUUUGAAGGUGGUUCGCCACUGGAAGAAGUAUUCAAAAGUAAAUGAAUCGAAUGCUUUAGAGGAAGGAGAAGUCGUAACA
Molecule: ribosomal RNA, 330 nt
Filed under: uncultured eukaryote
Lineage: Eukaryota
Description: partial 18S ribosomal RNA
Rfam family: Eukaryotic small subunit ribosomal RNA
Source: RNAcentral